This is a long non-coding RNA of Poeciliopsis prolifica (blackstripe livebearer), 445 nucleotides long. RefSeq lists it as uncharacterized. The record is from RefSeq and is a predicted model, not a curated record. NCBI's taxonomy places the organism in Eukaryota, Metazoa, Chordata, Actinopteri, Cyprinodontiformes, Poeciliidae. The transcript has 2 exons.
GCCACCUUUUAAGUGCUGGAGCCCAACAGACUGAGCAGUUAGGAGACAUAGACCAGACAUGAGCACUUGUAAUGAAGAUGUCUAACAACAAGGUGCAGACAGUUGCAGAUUCCCGACGAGCCAGGGACUGGCUGAUUGGCUGUUCUGUCUUGUGCCCUGGACAGGAUAUCAUCUUAUACUGUAAGUUUUUUAAAGAGACACUACAGUAUAGAUGAUGUACUAUCCAGGGUAUCAUUCCACCUCCGCCGAAGGAGACUCGGGCUGAAACGUCAGGGGGCCGAACACACAGCCGAGGGGGGCAGUUAAACCGUUACCAUUACUGAGUUUUAGUAAUGGUAAGGGUUCCACGGCCUUCGCUCAAUGACGACGAGGGAAAGGACGAGCUGGCGCUUUGUUACAUUUAAACCAAUAAUGUCAAAUAAAAAUGAUGUGGUUGUCUCCCAUA